This is a non-coding RNA of Callorhinus ursinus (northern fur seal), 170 nucleotides long. NCBI's taxonomy places the organism in Eukaryota, Metazoa, Chordata, Mammalia, Carnivora, Otariidae. The record is from RefSeq and is a predicted model, not a curated record.
AUCUAGCAUCCCUGUGGACAAUUGUAUGCCCUGCCUAGUCCCAUCCGUAACACAUACGCAGCAUGUGGCGUCACCACCAUCCACCAAGUUGCCCAAGCGAAAAACACAGGGGAGGAGUCGUGAGCUUUUACUUUAAAAAUACCAAGCACUGUCUCAAUACAAUAGAAUUG